Molecule: small RNA, 107 nt
Filed under: Pongo abelii (Sumatran orangutan)
Lineage: Eukaryota; Metazoa; Chordata; Mammalia; Primates; Hominidae
Description: processed transcript
Source: RNAcentral
CAAAUCAGUUACCCGCAGUUACUUCUGGGUCCACUGUCACGUUUGACAUUGAAGCCGUGACUCUAGGAACCACCAGUAAUAAUGAAGGUGGACACUUCAAGCUUCGA